RNAcentral lists this ribosomal RNA (527 nucleotides) under uncultured bacterium. Its description in RNAcentral is "bacterial SSU rRNA". It matches the Rfam family "Bacterial small subunit ribosomal RNA", at positions 777 to 1301 of the family's 1533-position model. The record is from RNAcentral.
AAUAGAUACCCGGGUAGUCCACGCCGUAAACGAUGAGUGCUAAGUGUUAGAGGGUUUCCGCCCUUUAGUGCUGCAGCAAACGCAUUAAGCACUCCGCCUGGGGAGUACGGCCGCAAGGCUGAAACUCAAAGGGAAUUGACGGGGACCCGCACAAGCGGUGGAGCAUGUGGUUUAAUUCGAAGCAACGCGAAGAACCUUACCAGGUCUUGACAUCCUCUGACCAUCCUAGAGAUAGGACCUUCCCCUUCGGGGGACAGAGUGACAGGUGGUGCAUGGUUGUCGUCAGCUCGUGUCGUGAGAUGUUGGGUUAAGUCCCGCAACGAGCGCAACCCUUGUCCUUAGUUGCCAGCAUUCAGUUGGGCACUCUAAGGAGACUGCCGGUGACAAACCGGAGGAAGGUGGGGAUGACGUCAAAUCAUCAUGCCCCUUAUGACCUGGGCUACACACGUGCUACAAUGGAUGGUACAAAGGGCUGCGAAGCCGCGAGGUGGAGCCAAUCCCAUAAAACCAUUCUCAGUUCGGAUUGC